RNAcentral lists this ribosomal RNA (349 nucleotides) under uncultured soil bacterium. RNAcentral's name for it is "bacterial SSU rRNA". It matches the Rfam family "Bacterial small subunit ribosomal RNA", at positions 26 to 378 of the family's 1533-position model. The record is from RNAcentral.
AGAUUGAACGCUGGCGGCAUGCCUUACACAUGCAAGUCGAACGGCAGCACGGGGGCAACCCUGGUGGCGAGUGGCGAACGGGUGAGUAACAUAUCGGAACGUGCCCUGGAGUGGGGGAUAACUAGUCGAAAGACUAGCUAAUACCGCAUACGAUCUACGGAUGAAAGUGGGGGAUCGCAAGACCUCAUGCUCGUGGAGCGGCCGAUAUCUGAUUAGCUAGUUGGUGGGGUAAAGGCCUACCAAGGCAUCGAUCAGUAGCUGGUCUGAGAGGACGACCAGCCACACUGGGACUGAGACACGGCCCAGACUCCUACGGGAGGCAGCAGUGGGGAAUUUGGACAAUGGGCGC